RNAcentral lists this ribosomal RNA (477 nucleotides) under uncultured organism. Its description in RNAcentral is "partial 16S ribosomal RNA". It matches the Rfam family "Bacterial small subunit ribosomal RNA", at positions 331 to 799 of the family's 1533-position model. The record is from RNAcentral.
GUACACUCCUACGGGAGGCAGCAGUGGGGAAUUUUGGACAAUGGGCGAAAGCCUGAUCCAGCAAUGCCGCGUGAGUGAAGAAGGCCUUCGGGUUGUAAAGCUCUUUUGUCAGGGAAGAAACGGUGAGAGCUAAUAUCUUUUGCUAAUGACGGUACCUGAAGAAUAAGCACCGGCUAACUACGUGCCAGCAGCCGCGGUAAUACGUAGGGUGCAAGCGUUAAUCGGAAUUACUGGGCGUAAAGCGUGCGCAGGCGGUUUUGUAAGUCUGAUGUGAAAUCCCCGGGCUCAACCUGGGAAUUGCAUUGGAGACUGCAAGGCUAGAAUCUGGCAGAGGGGGGUAGAAUUCCACGUGUAGCAGUGAAAUGCGUAGAUAUGUGGAGGAACACCGAUGGCGAAGGCAGCCCCCUGGGUCAAGAUUGACGCUCAUGCACGAAAGCGUGGGGAGCAAACAGGAUUAGAUACCCUUGUAGUCCCAUG